AUUGAACGCUGGCGGCAGGCUUAACACAUGCAAGUCGAGCGGGGGAAGGUAGCUUGCUACUGGACCUAGCGGCGGACGGGUGAGUAAUGCUUAGGAAUCUGCCUAUUAGUGGGGGACAACAUCUCGAAAGGGAUGCUAAUACCGCAUACGUCCUACGGGAGAAAGCAGGGGAUCUUCGGACCUUGCGCUAAUAGAUGAGCCUAAGUCGGAUUAGCUAGUUGGUGGGGUAAAGGCCUACCAAGGCGACGAUCUGUAGCGGGUCUGAGAGGAUGAGCCGCCACACUGGGACUGAGACACGGCCCAGACUCCUACGGGAGGCAGCAGUGGGGAAUAUUGGACAAUGGGGGGAACCCUGAUCCAGCCAUGCCGCGUGUGUGAAGAAGGCCUUAUGGUUGUAAAGCACUUUAAGCGAGGAGGAGGCUACUCUAGUUAAUACCUAGGGAUAGUGGACGUUACUCGCAGAAUAAGCACCGGCUAACUCUGUGCCAGCCGCCGCAGUAA
RNAcentral lists this ribosomal RNA (501 nucleotides) under uncultured bacterium. Its description in RNAcentral is "partial 16S ribosomal RNA". It matches the Rfam family "Bacterial small subunit ribosomal RNA", at positions 30 to 523 of the family's 1533-position model. The record is from RNAcentral.